Cavia porcellus (domestic guinea pig) is the source of this 64-nucleotide transfer RNA. It matches the Rfam family "tRNA". From Rfam's summary of the family: Transfer RNA (tRNA) molecules are approximately 80 nucleotides in length. Their secondary structure includes four short double-helical elements and three loops (D, anti-codon, and T loops). Further hydrogen bonds mediate the characteristic L-shaped molecular structure. tRNAs have two regions of fundamental functional importance: the anti-codon, which is responsible for specific mRNA codon recognition, and the 3' end, to which the tRNAs corresponding amino acid is attached (by aminoacyl-tRNA synthetases). tRNAs cope with the degeneracy of the genetic code in two manners: having more than one tRNA (with a specific anti-codon) for a particular amino acid; and 'wobble' base-pairing, i.e. permitting non-standard base-pairing at the 3rd anti-codon position. The record is from Rfam. Lineage: Eukaryota; Metazoa; Chordata; Mammalia; Rodentia; Caviidae.
GGGGAUUUAGCUCAGUGGCAUGAGUGCCUGCUUUGCAAGCAGGUAGUCUUGAGUUCAAUCCCUG